RNAcentral lists this transfer RNA (71 nucleotides) under Candidatus Nealsonbacteria bacterium CG02_land_8_20_14_3_00_34_20. RNAcentral describes it as "tRNA-Pro". It matches the Rfam family "tRNA". From Rfam's summary of the family: Transfer RNA (tRNA) molecules are approximately 80 nucleotides in length. RNAcentral also lists the same sequence under 1 other name. Lineage: Bacteria; Candidatus Nealsoniibacteriota. The record is from RNAcentral.
CGGGGCAUGGGGUAAUGGCAGCCCACUGGCUUCGGGUGUCAGAAGUCCCAGUUCAAAUCUGGGUGCCCCGA